UACGAAGGGGGCUAGCGUUGCUCGGAAUCACUGGGCGUAAAGCGCACGUAGGCGGCUUUUUAAGUCAGGGGUGAAAUCCCGGGGCUCAACCUCGGAACUGCCUUUGAUACUGCGGGUCUUGAGUCCGAUAGAGGUGGGUGGAAUUCCUAGUGUAGAGGUGAAAUUCGUAGAUAUUAGGAAGAACACCGGUGGCGAAGGCGGCCCACUGGAUCGGUACUGACGCUGAGGUGCGAAAGCGUGGGGAGCAAACAGG
RNAcentral lists this ribosomal RNA (253 nucleotides) under uncultured bacterium. Its description in RNAcentral is "partial 16S ribosomal RNA". It matches the Rfam family "Bacterial small subunit ribosomal RNA", at positions 524 to 776 of the family's 1533-position model. The record is from RNAcentral.